RNAcentral lists this ribosomal RNA (382 nucleotides) under Pseudomuriella engadinensis. Its description in RNAcentral is "SSU rRNA". It matches the Rfam family "Eukaryotic small subunit ribosomal RNA", at positions 567 to 956 of the family's 1831-position model. Lineage: Eukaryota; Viridiplantae; Chlorophyta; Chlorophyceae; Sphaeropleales; Pseudomuriellaceae. The record is from RNAcentral.
CCAGCAGCCGCGGUAAUACCAGCUCCAAUAGCGUAUAUUUAAGUUGUUGCAGUUAAAAAGCUCGUAGUUGGAUUUCGGGUGGGUUCUAGCGGUCUGCCUUUGGUACGUACUACUAGGGCCUACCUUUCUGUCGGGGACGGGCUCCUGGGCUUAACUGUCCGGGACUCGGAGUCGACGUUGAUACUUUGAGUAAAUUAGAGUGUUCAAAGCAAGCCUACGCUCUGAAUAUUUUAGCAUGGAAUAUCACGAUAGGACUCUGGCCUAUCUUGUUGGUCUGUAGGACCGGAGUAAUGAUUAAGAGGGACAGUCGGGGGCAUUCGUAUUUCAUUGUCAGAGGUGAAAUUCUUGGAUUUAUGAAAGACGAACUACUGCGAAAGCAUUU